Molecule: long non-coding RNA, 579 nt
Organism: Drosophila obscura
Lineage: Eukaryota; Metazoa; Arthropoda; Insecta; Diptera; Drosophilidae
Exons: 3
Source: RefSeq, a predicted model, not a curated record
ACCCUUUCUACUUGUUCGGGCUAAAAGCUAAGCGAUUGUCUGUCUGUCUGUUCAUUAAUAACUAUUUAUAACAACAACGAAAAUGUACAAAUCCCAAAGCAAUGUUUAACUUUAGACACCAAAGUUUCGAAUGCAACUAAAACCCAAUUAGUUGGCGGGCACACACAAGAGAGAGCGCUUUCCCUUUACCUUACAGCUAAGUCCAUGAGCAUGUCCCAAAACUAGGCAAAAACAAAGCUCAAGUCAAGGCUGCUUCUGCUACUCAUUUCGAGUCAAUAAAUAUUGAACCCCAAGCGGAAACAAGUUGCUCUGCGAAAUAAAAAACCCUGCCACAGGAAUGAACACAGUAUCUGGAAAGGACUCUUUUUCGGAAUGACAAAGCCCAGGCAAAUGACGUGAAAUGUACAAUAAAGAGGAGGAAGAGCUGCUCAUAAAAUGGCGUCUCCAUUUUGGCUGCUUGGCUGCCUAGCAGGCUGCCUGCAAGUGUGGCAUCCAUUCCAUUCGCCCACUUACAAGUAAUAACACUGGCCCCGGAGAGGGGCAUAAAAAUCAGAGGCAACACCACCAACCCACCAACCC